This 510-nucleotide ribosomal RNA is filed under the name Neochauliodes meridionalis. RNAcentral describes it as "partial large subunit ribosomal RNA". It matches the Rfam family "Bacterial large subunit ribosomal RNA", at positions 1829 to 2594 of the family's 2925-position model. The record is from RNAcentral. Lineage: Eukaryota; Metazoa; Arthropoda; Insecta; Megaloptera; Corydalidae.
GUCUUUUUGAUAAUAAUUUAAAGUCUAACCUGCCCACUGAAAAUUUUUGAAGGGCCGCGGUAUUUUGACUGUGCAAAGGUAGCAUAAUCAUUAGUCUUUUAAUUGAAGGCUUGUAUGAAUGGUUGGAUGAGGUAUUAACUGUCUCAAUUUAAUAAAUAAUAGAAUUUUAUUUUUAAGUUAAAAAGCUUAAAUAAUUUUAAAAGACGAGAAGACCCUAUAGAUCUUUAUAUAUUAAUUUUUAAUAAUUUUUUAGUUUAAAUUUAUUUUUAUUUGUUAGGGUAUUGAAUUGGGGUGAUUAAAAAAUUUAGUAAACUUUUUUUUAUUAGUUAACAAUGAUUUUUGAAUAGUUGAUCCAUUUUUUGUGAUUAUAAGAUUAAGUUACCUUAGGGAUAACAGCGUAAUUUUUUUGGAGAGUUCUUAUCGAUAAAAAAGAUUGCGACCUCGAUGUUGAAUUAAAGGUUAAUUUUAGGUGUAGAAGUUUAAAAUUUUGGUCUGUUCGACCAUUGAAUC